Molecule: transfer RNA, 77 nt
Filed under: Rhizobium sp.
Lineage: Bacteria; Pseudomonadati; Pseudomonadota; Alphaproteobacteria; Hyphomicrobiales; Rhizobiaceae
Also listed under: 31 other names
Description: tRNA-Pro
Rfam family: tRNA
About the family: Transfer RNA (tRNA) molecules are approximately 80 nucleotides in length. Their secondary structure includes four short double-helical elements and three loops (D, anti-codon, and T loops).
Source: RNAcentral
CGGGGCGUAGCGCAGCCCGGUAGCGCACUUGACUGGGGGUCAAGGGGUCGCUGGUUCAAGUCCAGUCGCCCCGACCA